UCUAAAUUCGAUCCUCAAUACCGGUAAAAAAAGCGGGAAAGAGAUAAACCCUCCCAGGUCACGCCCACAGUAAACCCCCCCUUAGGAACAGCAAAUCAGCUUUAACAUCCUGUCACCCACUCCCAUGAGCCUUUGGGGGCCACUGUCUUUCUAUGCCCUGACAGAGGGUAUCAGGGUUAAAUGUGUGACCCCAACCCUCAAGAAAUUCAGAGUCUAGGGAGACCCCAAGGAGAACCAGAUAAGAAUGGCCAGAUAAAUGCUAUGACUGACUCAGAAAAACCUCAGACCAGUGUUGCUGGCUGCUUCAAUCUGAAACAUGAAGAAGUAGCUUCUGCGUCACUAAAUGAGGUGGGAGCCCUGGGCCCAGAAAGCUUCGGUAGUGUUGAAGACCGGAAGCAGGCAAAGAUACCUGAGCAGCCCACCCCCCAUUCAGCAGGAGCCUGAGCCCAUCAGCAGCGUGCUCCAGGGAGGCGACAUUCUUGCCUUGGCCAUAAAGAAGAGGACUUGAAGAAAG
RNAcentral lists this long non-coding RNA (514 nucleotides) under Heterocephalus glaber (naked mole-rat). RNAcentral describes it as "lncRNA (ENSHGLG00100048152.1)". The record is from RNAcentral. Lineage: Eukaryota; Metazoa; Chordata; Mammalia; Rodentia; Bathyergidae.